This 583-nucleotide ribosomal RNA is filed under the name uncultured bacterium. Its description in RNAcentral is "partial 16S ribosomal RNA". It matches the Rfam family "Bacterial small subunit ribosomal RNA", at positions 355 to 1375 of the family's 1533-position model. The record is from RNAcentral.
UGGGGAAUUUUGGACAAUGGGCGAAAGCCUGAUCCAGCAAUGCCGCGUGUGUGAAGAAGGCCUUCGGGUUGUAAAGCACUUUUGUCCGGAAAGAAAUCCUUGGCUCUAAUACAGUCGGGGGAUGACGGUACCGGAAGAAUAAGCACCGGCUAACUACGUGCCAGCAGCCGCGGUAAUACGUAGGGUGCAAGCGUUAAUCGGAAUUACUGGGCGUAAAGCGUGCGCAGGCGGUUUGCUAAGACCGAUGUGAAAUCCCGGGCUCAACCUGGGAACUGCAUUGGUGACUGGCAGGCUAGAGUAUGGCAGAGGGGGGUAGAAUUCCACGUGUAGCAGUGAAAUGCGUAGAGAUGUGGAGGAAUACCGAUGGCGAAGGCAGCCCCCUGGGCCAAUACUGACGCUCAUGCACGAAAGCGUGGGGAGCAAACAGGAUUAGAUACCCUGGUAGUCCACGCCCUAAACGAUGUCAACUAGUUGUUGGGGAUUCAUUUCCUUAGUAACGUAGCUAACGCGUGAAGUUGACCGCCUGGGGAGUACGGUCGCAAGAUUAAACUCAAAUGAAUUGACGGGGUCAUAGCUGUUUCCU